RNAcentral lists this ribosomal RNA (326 nucleotides) under uncultured Sandona. RNAcentral describes it as "SSU rRNA". The stretch from base 117 to 326 matches the Rfam family "Eukaryotic small subunit ribosomal RNA", at positions 745 to 955 of the family's 1831-position model. The record is from RNAcentral. Lineage: Eukaryota; Cercozoa; Glissomonadida.
GAUUUCUGAUGUUGACUUAUUUGACCCAUCGGGCGUUAGCACGUGUGAGUGUCUGAAUAGUGUCCAUCUUUUUCUUUCUUGUGAUUAAUUUUCUGUUAAAGGAGAAUUAAAAAUAAGAAUCUUUUACUUUGAACAAAUUAGAGUGUUUCAAGCAGGCUUUAUGCUAUGAAUACAUUAGCAUGGAAUAAUAAUUUAGGACUUCGGUUCUAUUUUGUUGGUUUCUAGGACUGAAGUAAUGAUUGAUAGGGAUAGUUGGGGGUGCUAGUAUUCAGCGGCCAGAGGUGAAAUUCUCGGAUUCGCUGAAGACUAACUUAUGCGAAAGCAUU